Molecule: non-coding RNA, 83 nt
Organism: Byssothecium circinans
Lineage: Eukaryota; Fungi; Ascomycota; Dothideomycetes; Pleosporales; Massarinaceae
Source: the annotation of a GenBank genome assembly
GCCCGCAUGGCUAAGUGGUAUAGCGUCUCACUAGUAACUUCUGUAACAUGAGAAGAUCGGCGGUUCGAUUCCGCCUGUGGGCA